CUUUUUUUUUUUUUUUUUUUUUUUUUUUUUUUUUUUUUUUUUUUUU
This 46-nucleotide non-coding RNA is filed under the name Alexandrium minutum. Lineage: Eukaryota; Dinophyceae; Gonyaulacales; Pyrocystaceae. The record is from RNAcentral.